UUCCCACCUUUUCUCUAAUACUAUUAUUAUGGAUUUUAUCUUGUCUAGUAUGGCCACCCAUCGACCUUAACAUUCUCAUUUUCACAACUCUUAUCUGAGACACAUACGACUCCUUCAUUUUGCAACACUCACUAUCAUAUAACAUGGCCGGUCGUAUGGUUGUACAGUAAAAUUUUCCUUUCAAUUUAUUAGGAAUCUUACGAUCACAUAAAACUUCCGUGGCAUGUUUCCACUUCAACCAUCCAGCUUUAA
Molecule: unclassified non-coding RNA, 252 nt
Filed under: Hevea brasiliensis (rubber tree)
Lineage: Eukaryota; Viridiplantae; Streptophyta; Magnoliopsida; Malpighiales; Euphorbiaceae
Source: RNAcentral